UGGGGAAUUUUGGACAAUGGACGCAAGUCUGAUCCAGCCAUGCCGCGUGCGGGAAGAAGGCCUUCGGGUUGUAAACUUCUUUUAUUUGGGACGAAACACUCUUUAUCUAAAGAGCUUGACGGUACCAGAUGAAUAAGCACCGGCUAACUACGUGCCAGCAGCCGCGGUAAUACGUAGGGUGCGAGCGUUAAUCGGAAUUACUGGGCGUAAAGCGUGCGCAGGCGGUUAUAUAAGACAGAUGUGAAAUCCCCGGGCUCAACCUGGGAUCUGCAUUUGUGACUGUAUAGCUAGAGUACGGCAGAGGGGGAUGGAAUUCCGCGUGUAGCAGUGAAAUGCGUAGAUAUGCGGAGGAACACCGAUGGCGAAGGCAAUCCCCUGGGCCUGUACUGACGCUCAUGCACGAAAGCGUGGGGAGCAAACA
This 421-nucleotide ribosomal RNA is filed under the name uncultured bacterium. RNAcentral's name for it is "bacterial SSU rRNA". It matches the Rfam family "Bacterial small subunit ribosomal RNA", at positions 355 to 774 of the family's 1533-position model. The record is from RNAcentral.